Salmo salar (Atlantic salmon) is the source of this 54-nucleotide non-coding RNA. The record is from Rfam. Lineage: Eukaryota; Metazoa; Chordata; Actinopteri; Salmoniformes; Salmonidae.
GUAUGAAAUGUAUGUUAGUCGCUCUGGAUAAGAGCGUCUGCUAAAUGACUUAAA